UGGGGAAUUUUUCGCAAUGGGCGCAAGCCUGACGAAGCAACGCCGCGUGGAGGAUGAAGGUCUUCGGAUUGUAAACUCCUGUCGACCGGGACGAAUGCACUCGACCUAAUACGUCGAGUUGUUGACGGUACCGGUGGAGGAAGCCACGGCUAACUCUGUGCCAGCAGCCGCGGUAAUACAGAGGUGGCAAGCGUUGUUCGGAAUUACUGGGCGUAAAGGGCGCGUAGGCGGCCUUGUAAGUCUCGUGUGAAAGCCCUCGGCUUAACUGAGGAUCUGCACGGGAUACUGCGAGGCUAGAGUUCGGGAGAGGAAAGCGGAAUUCCGGGUGUAGCGGUGAAAUGCGUAGAUAUCCGGAGGAACACCAGGGGCGAAGGCGGCUUUCUGGACCGACACUGACGCUGAGGCGCGAAAGCUAGGGGAGCAAACGGGAUUAGAUACCCAUGUAGUCCCUGAGCGGGCUGGCAAGGCGCAU
Molecule: ribosomal RNA, 472 nt
Filed under: uncultured bacterium
Lineage: Bacteria
Description: bacterial SSU rRNA
Rfam family: Bacterial small subunit ribosomal RNA
Source: RNAcentral